This 724-nucleotide ribosomal RNA is filed under the name uncultured bacterium. RNAcentral describes it as "bacterial SSU rRNA". It matches the Rfam family "Bacterial small subunit ribosomal RNA", at positions 67 to 788 of the family's 1533-position model. The record is from RNAcentral.
CGGUAACGCGGGGCAACCUGGCGACGAGUGGCGAACGGGUGAGUAAUGUAUCGGAACGUGCCCAGUUGUGGGGGAUAACUGCUCGAAAGAGCAGCUAAUACCGCAUACGACCUGAGGGUGAAAGCGGGGGAUCGCAAGACCUCGCGCAAUUGGAGCGGCCGAUAUCAGAUUAGGUAGUUGGUGGGGUAAAGGCCCACCAAGCCAACGAUCUGUAGCUGGUCUGAGAGGACGACCAGCCACACUGGGACUGAGACACGGCCCAGACUCCUACGGGAGGCAGCAGUGGGGAAUUUUGGACAAUGGACGCAAGUCUGAUCCAGCCAUGCCGCGUGCGGGAAGAAGGCCUUCGGGUUGUAAACCGCUUUUGUCAGGGAAGAAACGGUCUGGGUUAAUACCUCGGGCUAAUGACGGUACCUGAAGAAUAAGCACCGGCUAACUACGUGCCAGCAGCCGCGGUAAUACGUAGGGUGCAAGCGUUAAUCGGAAUUACUGGGCGUAAAGCGUGCGCAGGCGGUUAUGCAAGACAGAGGUGAAAUCCCCGGGCUCAACCUGGGAACUGCCUUUGUGACUGCAUAGCUAGAGUACGGUAGAGGGGGAUGGAAUUCCGCGUGUAGCAGUGAAAUGCGUAGAUAUGCGGAGGAACACCGAUGGCGAAAGCAAUCCCCUGGACCUGUACUGACGCUCAUGCACGAAAGCGUGGGGAGCAAACAGGAUUAGAUACCCU